CCUACGGGUGGCAGCAGUGAGGAAUAUUGGUCAAUGGGCGCGAGCCUGAACCAGCCAAGUAGCGUGAAGGAUGACUGCCCUACGGGUUGUAAACUUCUUUUAUCAAGGAGUAAAGUGAGGCACGUGGGCCAUUUUGUAUGUACUUUAUGAAUAAGGAUCGGGUAACUCCGGGCCAGCAGCCGCGGUAAUACGGAGGAUCCGAGCGUUAUCCGGAUUUAUUGGGGUUAAAGGGAGCGUAGAUGGGUUGUUAAGGCAGGUGUGAAAGUUUGCGGCUCAACCGUAAAAUUGCAAUUGAUACUGGCAGCCUUGAGUACAGUUGAGGUAGGCGGAAUUCGUGGUGUAGCGGUGAAAUGCUUAGAUAUCACGAAGAACUCCGAUUGCGAAGGCAGCUUACUAAACUGCCACUGACAUUGAUGCUCGAAAGUGUGGGUAUCAAACAGGAUUAGAUACCCGAGUAGUC
RNAcentral lists this ribosomal RNA (460 nucleotides) under uncultured bacterium. RNAcentral describes it as "partial 16S ribosomal RNA". It matches the Rfam family "Bacterial small subunit ribosomal RNA", at positions 338 to 795 of the family's 1533-position model. The record is from RNAcentral.